This 703-nucleotide long non-coding RNA is filed under the name Rattus norvegicus (Norway rat). RNAcentral's name for it is "long non-coding RNA NONRATT017100". The record is from RNAcentral. Lineage: Eukaryota; Metazoa; Chordata; Mammalia; Rodentia; Muridae.
GUAUCUGGGGUCGGCCAGCAAAGUCCACCCACUUUUGGAUCAAGGCCUCCUCAAUGGUUUUGUUAGAGUUCAACACCACCACAUCUAAGGGGAAACCGCAAUGUCAGCAGGGAAGAAGGGCUCACACAAAGACAGAAGACUGGCUUACCUUGUAGCCCCAAGCGGAUCCUGUAGAUGGGCCCAAGUUUCUGAGCCAGGCCAAACAGGUAGACCGGAAGGUUGGGCUGUAGAAAGUGCAGAAACCCCGGGGCCAGAGGCGGGAGGCGGAGUUUCCAGAGCUUCCACUGACCCCACAGCCAGCGGGUGCCAGCUAGCAGCAGCAGCAGCAGCAGCAACAGCAGCCCAGGUAGCAGCAUGGCCCAACGCUUGUGCAGGGCACUGGUAUGGCCUUUUAUAGCCCCAGCUCCAGCCCUCUCUUCUCUUGUGGCUCUGACCCUUAGCUUCAGGUCCCUUCCCACUUGUCCCACACACGGAGCAGUGUGUUUUCAAAUUGGCACAGCCCCAUCGGCCUUGGAAAGUCCAUGGAUCAAAGAUGGGACCAUCCAUCAAGAAGAAGGAAGGGAUGCAAAACCCUGACCUUUCCCUAUCACGAUCCACUUCCUAACUCCAUGUUAGCCAUCAGCCAUGUGAGCCAAGAGGUCCACCCGCGUCGACCCCUCCCGCCGUACCUCACCUUGGACCAGCUGAGUGGAGUGGAUUUGUU